CAAAAAGUAGUUUAAAUUAAAAACAAAAGCUUUGGGAGCUCUAAAUUCGUAGUUCAAUCGACUUUUUGA
RNAcentral lists this transfer RNA (69 nucleotides) under Chamberlainia hainesiana. RNAcentral's name for it is "tRNA-Pro". It matches the Rfam family "tRNA". Rfam says of the family: Transfer RNA (tRNA) molecules are approximately 80 nucleotides in length. The record is from RNAcentral. Lineage: Eukaryota; Metazoa; Mollusca; Bivalvia; Unionida; Unionidae.